UAAUCAGGGCCGGUUCAUCGUUAGAACCAUCGGACGCCUUAAGAUGCGCUUGGGAAACCGGGCCCUGAUAUCCAGUUUCCUCCUCUUCUUCAUUUUCCGAUGUGACAGUCACCUCCCCCCUCUUCUUCUUCUUCUUCUUCUUCUUCUUUCACUGAAACGUCGCCGUCCCCCUCUUUGACUAUGAACGAGUCUUCCUCUUCUUUAACUGAGACCUCUUUCUCUUCUUCUUUCACGGUAACAGCCUCAACCUCUACUUGUUUUUGUAUUGUAACAGCCUCCUCUUCCACGAGAGCGUCUUUCUCCAUCCAGCAGGCAGACCACCUCUUCUUCAUAAUCAGGAACGGGGUUAAGUUUGAGACUGGAGCUAUGAGGCAUGUACUGAAGUCGCUAAGCGGUAUAAUUCAAAGUAGUGUCCCUUUAUCAGCAGCACGUGAUCAAUGACGUCUGAUGAAUCAUUUCGUCGAACACCUGAUUGGUUUUGAUUAAUUUGGGCUCGUUCGACAUUGCAGCCGACAGUGCAGGUGGCUGCUGACUGCUGACUGACUGAUUUACAAAUCACCUUGCAUCAUAAAUAACUACCCAUUAUUAUUUAUAAAUCAGUCAGCCAGUCACCGUUUACCCACAAUGCAGCAUAGACUUGAUGCUCUCGAUCAAGGCCCGUGGUUUCGUAGAAGACAUGAAGGCUACGCUGCUACGGUGGGGGACGUCAUCUUUCAAAAUGUGGCUUUUCUAAAUUCUGUGUCGCUCAAAGCCUUGACCUUCCUCUCCUCUGAAGACCCAGUAAGGGUGGAGCUCAGUCAGAGAGCUGUUGAGGGACUGGUUAGGAAGAACACUUCUACAGCCAGAGAGGGGCAGUCAAGAAAUGGACUGUGGGAGACCACCUCAAGUCCCUGGUAGAGCAGGGGGUGGUGUUUACCUCUCCACCACACCUUCAGCAGGCUGGAAAAUUAACCCUGAUAUUUUAAAAGCAGGGCAACAACGUCAAUAUAAUUGUACCCAAAAAUUGUCAGUUGGUUGCAUAAAUAAUUAUGAUUACUAAAUGUUACAUGAAAUGUAAAUAUUAAAUAUUCGGUUACAGUCUCAUUUUCAACGUCUUUUCAAUGACAUUUUGCUAGGUGUGAUAUCCCCAAUGUCAAAACACACUUUUAAUGUCUCCAAAUCAAUAACCAAUAUGCAGAAACAGUUUGGGAUAAAUUGAAAACCUAAACAUAAAAUGUGCUAUAUAGACAAACAUCUGCCACAAUAAUAAUAUUUCUUGUAAUUUUUAAAACAAGCUCCUUAUGAACUCCACAAGCACCAAAAACACUGUUUUGACAAGAAGCAAUAAAUCACUGAUAUCGAUUAGAGGGGAAAUUAGGUUGUACGUGCUGUUGAAACUAACACAACUUAAACAAACACAUGGAAAUGGGAGAUAUAUUUCACCUCACUGGUUAGAGGACAACCUGCAGAAGACAGUCAGCUACAUGUUGGAGUGAGGCAUUUAAAUGUAGGAGUCACUAAACAAAGGAACACAACACUUAUUUGUUAUAACUCAUCGAUAUCAUUCUAAAAUCAUUUGUGGAAGAGGAGAGAGAUGGGGUUGCAUGUCCUGUUAAAGCUAACAGCUCAAAAACCACAAGGAAUCUGGGAGUAAUGUGUACAUCCUUGGUUAGAGGACAACUUGCAGAAAACAGCCUGAUACAUUUUGAAGUGUUGCAUUUUGAUUCAAGUGGAUCACGAACGUGGUAAGUGUAACAAAACAAUUUUUUUGUUAAUCAAUUUUUGUUAAAUAAUACUCUUCCAUUUCAGAGCCUGGAUUUCCCCCCCGAGGCUAAUAUCCAUAUCAUGUUGAAAUCAAUAGAACAGAGGACAAACAUUUAGGGUUCUACAUUGUGACAUCAUUAAAAUACUCCUACUACAAUGUUAAAACAUUCUACAUUGUGACAUUUUUUCAUUGAUAUCAUGAAAUAACUCAUUCAUGUAUGUAUUUUCUGAUGUUUGAUCAGAGAUCUUUUAUUAAAGUAUCUCUUGGCACACUGAUCACAGCAAUACGAUUUCUCUCCUGUGUGUGCUCUAUGGUGUGAUACCAGAUGGCCAGAUUGACCAAAACUCUUCCCACAUUAUUCACAGACAAAGGAUUUCUCUCUUGUGUGUAUUCUCUGGUGUUGAGUCAGAGUUCUUGAUGCAGCAAAACUGUUCCCACAUUGACUACAGCUAUAAGGUCUCUCUCUCCUGUGUGUGUUCUCUGGUGCACUCUCAGAUCUCCAGAUUGACGAAAACUCUUCCCACAUUGACCACAGCUAUAAGGUUUCUCUCCUGUGUGUAUUCUCUGGUGCACUGUCAGCGCUCCAGAUUGGGCAAAACUCUUCCC
This is a long non-coding RNA of Oncorhynchus keta (chum salmon), 2350 nucleotides long. RefSeq lists it as uncharacterized. The transcript is spliced from 4 exons. The record is from RefSeq and is a predicted model, not a curated record. NCBI's taxonomy places the organism in Eukaryota, Metazoa, Chordata, Actinopteri, Salmoniformes, Salmonidae.